This 426-nucleotide ribosomal RNA is filed under the name uncultured prokaryote. Its description in RNAcentral is "bacterial SSU rRNA". It matches the Rfam family "Bacterial small subunit ribosomal RNA", at positions 962 to 1393 of the family's 1533-position model. The record is from RNAcentral.
CGAUGAACCUUACCAGGCCUUGACAUCCCUUGCGAAGUCCUAGAGAUAGGAUGAAGGUUAUCAAGGAGACAGGUGGUGCAUGGUUGUCGUCAGCUCGUGUCGUGAGAUGUUGGGUUAAGUCCCGCAACGAGCGCAACCCUUGUGAUAUGUUACCAAUAUUAAGUUAGGGACUCAUAUCAGACUGCCGGUGAUAAACCGGAGGAAGGUGGGGAUGACGUCAAAUCAUCAUGCCCCUUAUGAGCAGGGCUACACACGUGCUACAAUGGCGUAAACAGAGGGAAGCGAAGGAGUGAUCCGGAGCAAAUCUCAAAAAUAACGUCUCAGUUCGGAUUGUAGUCUGCAACUCGACUACAUGAAGCUGGAAUCGCUAGUAAUCGCAGAUCAGAAUGCUGCGGUGAAUACGUUCCCGGGUCUUGUACACACCGA